GACGAACGCUGGCGGCGUGCUUAACACAUGCAAGUCGAACGGAAAGGCCCUGCUUUUGUGGGGUGCUCGAGUGGCGAACGGGUGAGUAACACGUGAGUAACCUGCCCUUGACUUUGGGAUAACUUCAGGAAACUGGGGCUAAUACCGGAUAGGAGCUCCUGCUGCGUGGUGGGGGUUGGAAAGUUUCGGCGGUUGGGGAUGGACUCGCGGCUUAUCAGCUUGUUGGUGGGGUAGUGGCUUACCAAGGCUUUGACGGGUAGCCGGCCUGAGAGGGUGACCGGCCACAUGGGGACUGAGAUACGGCCCAGAGUCCAACGGGAGGCAGCAGUGGGGAAUAUUGCACAAUGGGCGGAAGCCGGAUGCAGCAACGCCGCGUGCGGGAUGACGGCCUUCGGGUGGUAAACCGCUUUCGCCUGUGACGAAGCGUGAGUGACGGUAAUGGGUAAAGAAGCACCGGCUAACUACGU
RNAcentral lists this ribosomal RNA (467 nucleotides) under uncultured bacterium. RNAcentral's name for it is "partial 16S ribosomal RNA". It matches the Rfam family "Bacterial small subunit ribosomal RNA", at positions 28 to 506 of the family's 1533-position model. The record is from RNAcentral.